This 442-nucleotide unclassified non-coding RNA is filed under the name Circinaria hoffmanniana. RNAcentral's name for it is "sequence contains 18S rRNA gene, ITS1, 5.8S rRNA gene and ITS2". The stretch from base 193 to 346 matches the Rfam family "5.8S ribosomal RNA". Lineage: Eukaryota; Fungi; Ascomycota; Lecanoromycetes; Pertusariales; Megasporaceae. The record is from RNAcentral.
CAUUACCGAGAUUAGGGUCCACUUGGGACUUGACCCUCCUACCCUUUGUAUAUAUAUACUUUUGUUGCUUUGGCGGUUACCCCGCGGCACACGGCGCUGCUAGACACGUCGAGUCCCGGGCCCGCCAGAGGCCCUUUUAAAUCUGCCUUUUAUCAGUGACAGUAUGAGCAUAUUUUUGCGAAUCUAAAUCAAAACUUUCAACAACGGAUCUCUUGGUUCUGGCAUCGAUGAAGAACGCAGCGAAAUGCGAUAAGUAAUGUGAAUUGCAGAAUUCAGUGAAUCAUCGAAUCUUUGAACGCACAUUGCGCCCUCUGGUAUUCCGGGGGGCAUGCCUGUUCGAGCGUCAUUACACCUCUCAAGCUUCGCUNGGUAUUGGGUGGUUCGUCCCCUGUGGAUCGGGCCUGAAAAUCAGUGGCAGGGCAACCGGUACUCAAGCGUAAUA